GAUGAACGCUGGCGGCGUGCCUAAUACAUGCAAGUCGAGCGAACAGACGAGGAGCUUGCUCCUCUGACGUUAGCGGCGGACGGGUGAGUAACACGUGGAUAACCUACCUAUAAGACUGGGAUAACUUCGGGAAACCGGAGCUAAUACCGGAUAAUAUAUUGAACCGCACGGUUCAAUAGUGAAAGACGGUUUUGCUGUCACUUAUCGAUGGAUCCGCGCCGCAUUAGCUAGUUGGUAAGGUAACGGCUUACCAAGGCAACGAUGCGUAGCCGACCUGAGAGGGUGAUCGGCCACACUGGAACUGAGACACGGUCCAGACUCCUACGGGAGGCAGCAGUAGGGAAUCUUGCGCAAUGGGCGAAAGCCUGACGGAGCAACGCCGCGUGAAUGAUGAAGGUCUUCGGAUCGUAAAACUCUGUUAGUAGGGAAGAACAAAUGUGUAAGUAACUAUGCACGUCUUGACGGUACCUAAUCAGAAAGCCACGGCUAACUACGUG
RNAcentral lists this ribosomal RNA (497 nucleotides) under uncultured bacterium. RNAcentral's name for it is "partial 16S ribosomal RNA". It matches the Rfam family "Bacterial small subunit ribosomal RNA", at positions 28 to 507 of the family's 1533-position model. The record is from RNAcentral.